UACAGAGGGUGCGAGCGUUAAUCGGAAUUACUGGGCGUAAAGGGUGCGUAGGUGGUGGCAUAAGUUAGGUGUGAAAGUCCUGGGCUUAACCUGGGGAUUGCGCCUAAUACUGUGAGGCUUGAGUAUUGUAGAGGAAAGUGGAAUUUCCGGUGUAGCGGUGAAAUGCGUAGAUAUCGGAAGGAACAUCAGUGGAGAAGGCGUAUUUCUGGACAAAUACUGACACUGAGGCACGAAAGCAUGGGGAGCAAACAGG
RNAcentral lists this ribosomal RNA (253 nucleotides) under uncultured bacterium. RNAcentral's name for it is "partial 16S ribosomal RNA". It matches the Rfam family "Bacterial small subunit ribosomal RNA", at positions 524 to 776 of the family's 1533-position model. The record is from RNAcentral.